Molecule: small RNA, 127 nt
Filed under: Marmota monax (woodchuck)
Lineage: Eukaryota; Metazoa; Chordata; Mammalia; Rodentia; Sciuridae
Source: RNAcentral
UCUGGGCGGGGUGAUGCGCACCUGUAAUCUCAGCAACUUGGGAGGUUGAGGAAAGAGGAUUGCUAGUUUGAGGCCAGCCUCAGCAACUCAGUGAGGCCCUAAACAACUUAGCAAGACCAUGUCUCAA